Molecule: ribosomal RNA, 117 nt
Filed under: uncultured type I methanotroph
Lineage: Bacteria; Pseudomonadati; Pseudomonadota; Gammaproteobacteria; Methylococcales; Methylococcaceae
Description: partial 16S ribosomal RNA
Rfam family: Bacterial small subunit ribosomal RNA
Source: RNAcentral
AAUAUUGGACAAUGGGCGCAAGCCAGAUCCAGCAAUACCGCGUGUGUGAAGAAGGCCUUAGGGUUGUAAAGCACUUUCAAUGGGGAGGAAAACCUGCCGGUCUAUACCCAGUAGCUU